RNAcentral lists this long non-coding RNA (25808 nucleotides) under Nicotiana tabacum (common tobacco). RNAcentral describes it as "long non-coding RNA (NTAB_LNC002736)". Lineage: Eukaryota; Viridiplantae; Streptophyta; Magnoliopsida; Solanales; Solanaceae. The record is from RNAcentral.
UGUGAUCCGCUGAAAGAAGCCAUAACUAAUGAACUCGAUUGUCUGUGUAAAUUGUACGAAAAUCCUACGGUGUUGCCUUCAUUUGGUAUUAAUAUUACUCAAGCACUUGCACUUCCUAAAGCAUGUAAUAUUCCUGGUGAUCUCAGUUCUUGCAAUGGUAUGAUCUUUUCUUCUUCAUUUAUUUUUUUCUGCUUUGGAUAUUCGGUAUUCGGUAUCACAUAUAGCCUGUUUGGUCAAGCUUUUUUCUUUGGCCAAAAUUAAUUUUUUCUAAAAUUAAGGUGUUUGAUCCUGAGCCAAAUGUCUUAAAGGGUGUUCAACUUACCAUCAUUAAUCGAAAAAUUAUACUGCAUAUAUAGGUAAAAUAUUAGGUUGUAGAGAUAUAUAACAGAUAUUGAACAUUCUUUAUCGGAGAAUUUUAUUCACUUCUUUCAAGUUUGAACACCCUUAAGGAAAUUCCUGAAUUCGUCACCAGUUUGACCAAGCUUUUAGAAGGAAAAAAAUAUUUUUGAUUAGAAGUAGAAGUAGUUUUGAGAAGCAAAAAAAAUAGUUUAUCCCCAAAAGUACUUCUAAGAAAAAUACACUUAUAACCCGUUUGGCCAAACUGAAAAAAUCAGCUUAUAGAUUAUUUUUAAAAGGUCAAAUUAAUCCAAAAACAUAAAAAUUGUGUACAAUUACAUAUAUAAGAAAGUUACUGGUCUUAGUGAAAGAGUUGGGAUUGACCUUAUUGUAUAAAUAAUUAAGUUUAUGAUCUCUCACUUAUCAUCAGGAAUCUUAAUUUUAGUUCUUGAAAAUGUGUCUAAAAGAAAUGGAAUCAAAUUGAGAAUUCAUAUUGCCGCUCAUAACUAAUUAAUUUGAAAUUGUUGAGGAAUUGCUGUGGAAUAAAUAAUUUUAUGUUUUGGAGUUAAUGGCUUUUCUUUACUAUUUCUAUUUGAUCCAGAAAUUAAAAUGUGUACUAUGUUUCCAAAUUUCUAAUUCAGAAUCUUUGAGUGUAUUUAGUAUGAUGGAAGUCAUUUUUCAUACAAUAUUGUUUUAGAAGAUAUAAUAUUUUUCAGUGUUUGGUUAGUGAGAUAAAAUAUUUUUAGAAAAAAGAUACUAUAUUAUAUAGAAUUUUACUUGUAAUCAUUUUCUAAUUCCCUUCCUUCUCUUUUUGGUCAUUUUAUAAGGGAAAUGUUACUCCCUCGUGCAAUAACAAAAAAUUUAAUUGUGUUCGUAUUAGUAUAAUUUUUCGAAGUUCAUGAAUAUGUAAUUUAAAAAAAAAAUUAAAGUUCAGAAAUCAUAUUUGAAUUCAUAACAAAAUAAUCCUGUUACUUUUUUUCUUUCAAAGUUGUUGUAGAGGGUACUAUUUUAGUCUUGAUUAUUUAUUUUCGUGUAUAGGUAACGCUGCUCCAGGUCCUGGUUCUGAAACCUUGCCACCACCAGGUAACUAAGAAUUAAUUUUUUAUUUUAUUUUAACAAAUAUUCAUUAAUUGUUUCUCCCAAACAACUGCAAUUUAAAACUAGAAUUAUAACUUGGAUAAUUAAUGUUAUCUUCUGUAUGGGAUAAGUUAUAUCAAAAGUUUGAUAUCAAAUAUUUAUGACUUAUUUUAGAUCAUAAUUUUUAAAGUCUUUUUUAUUCUUCAACCCCAUAUCGAGUCAAAAUUCACCAUAUAAAUUGAAACAUAGAAGUACUGAUAUUAGUUAAUACCUUCAACCAAAAAGGGGAUAAAUUUUAUCCCAAAAGUUAUAUUGGGAUAACCCACCUAAUUCUUUGAAUCAAAUAGCUCCGGAUAUUUAUUGGUUGAUGAUGUAACUAGGCCCCCUUUUUACGGUCAAUGAUAAGUUUUAGUACCGGCAAACGCGGAUCUAUGAUUUAAAUUUUAUAGGUUUAACAUUUAAGGUUUUUAACAUUAAAUUCAUUAUAUUUUUAAAACUAUGGGCUCGAUCUACUAUUUAUUGUAAUUUUAGUGAAUUUUUACACAUUAAUUUAUACUAGCGUCAAAAGUUAUGGGUUCAAUUGAACUCGUGACCGGAGCGCUAGUACUAGUGUUUCAUUAACUUCCUUAACUAUGAUAAAGAAGUUCUAUCUGACUUUAUUUUUAUUUUAAGAGCCUUGUGAUAAUUCUCCAAGUCAUUGCUUCAAAUGUGGACAUUGAUUUGGUCUUUGUUCAACUUACAAUUUUAGGAACCCCAACGUUGAAAAUGACACAAUAGCUGUAUUCCAUUGCUUGUUCCAACUUUCCAAUAAUGUUGUUCUAGACUUCUCAUAAUAGUCGUAUGAAAUGUUGGACAAGGAAAUAAGAAAAACUUUAAUUUUACAUGAUACUACUUUUAAAUUUUUUUGUUCAAUGUUUCUAAAAAAAAUACAUAAUAUAUUGCAAGAAAAUUUAACUUUAAACUUUCAUUUUACACUUAAUAAUAAAUUUAUAUAUAGAAUAUCGCGUGUCAAAAGUAUAUUUUUCUUUAUUAAACUUCAUUACCGUCAACACAUCAUCUUAUAAAAUGAAAUUGAGGAAGUAAUAGUCUUUUGCAUCUUGCUAUCAUAUAUACAUAUGGAACUUCUCAUAAUUAACAUGAGGGAUGGCGGGAUGGAUAAAUCCUUUCACUCUUAAUCGGAGGUCUGAAUAAAAAAAAAAUUAUAGUAAGGAACGCUUUCCCCUUUAAUGAGCCUAAUGCGAUGCAACCUGAAUUAAUUGGCACUUCAAAGCACUUUGAAGGACGUCGAAUGAAAAACAAAAAAAGCUCUCUAAUUAUUACUACUAGAAGAGCUGCCACAUAUUGAAGUGUGGGGAAGUUUUGCUAACAAUUUUACUGUCAUGAUUGCAAUUUUUACAGCAACACCAGGUGGGAAAAAUGAUAACAAUGGAGUAAACAAGAUUGCAUGGACUGGAACCUCAAGUUUACUUGUUCUUUUUGCUUCUUUAGUGCUUGCUUAGAAUCACUUGUUAUGUUCAAUUUUUAGGGAAAUAUGAUGAUUUAUUCCCUUAGUCCUUACCUAAUGUACUAGUGAGAAAAUUUGGCUGAUUCCAAGCCAGAGGCUGUAUUGUUGUUUGUUUCACUCAUCGUUUAUACUAUGUGUAGUGUUACCUUCUUGGUGUAUGGAUUUGGUAGUUUUGAAUAUAUAGUAUUUGCUUGCAAGCUGAAUUUGUUCUCAAAUAUUGGAAGUUAUAGAAAAAGCAAAAAGUAUUAUGUAUUGUUAAUUAAAUACAGAGUAAGUUUUAAGAUAUUUCGAAAGUAUUUUUCAGUAACCAAACUCCAAAAGAUAUGACAUUUUGUUUGUUGUUGAGAAAUUAACUUCUCAACCAAGCUACAUCUUAUCCUCUCCUAGUGAAUCUGUCCAAUUAAUCUUUCCUAUCUUUCCUCUUACACUAUUCACUGUCUCAAGCAGGAUUUCUAUUAAAGGGGUUCAAAAAAGAAAGGGACUACGGCCACUGAGAAUUGAAUCAGUGACCUCACAAAAAUUUUGAACCCUUUGACCACUGAGCUAUACUUUUGCACCGUAGUAAGGGGAUUCAAAAUAUAAUAUAUAGAGGCACAAAAUAAAUAUUGCCUUAUAUGUAUAUAGGGAUGGCAAAUGAGCUGGUUGGGUCGGAUAUGAGCGAGUUCAAAAUGGGUAAUGUAAAAAAAUGGAUAAAUUAUCCGACCUGAUCCAUAUUUAAUGCGGAUAAAAAAUAGGUUAACCUGCGGAUAUUAUGGAUAUCCAUAUUAUCCACGAUUUCUUGAAUAUGAUUACUUUGGGGAGAAUUCCUCGUCUCCCAAACUUGAGGAACCCUCAAUUUGAGACUUUACAAAUGUAAAAGUUAAACUCAUUAGUUAUCCAUUGAUUAUCUAUUUUCUAAGUGGAUAAUAUGGUUCUUAUUCAUAUUUGAUUCCGUUUUUAAAAAGUUNNNNNNNNNNNNNNNNNNNNNNNNNAGUAUUACUUAUUACUUUAUUAUUUAUUCUACUAUAUAUAUAUAUAUAUAUAUAUAUAUAUAUAUAUAUUAUUAAGAAAUGUAGCUCAAAUAACAAUAUAAAACAAGAAGAUAAGUAAAAGAAUAAGAGAAGAAGAGAGAUAACUUUCUUAUUUCAUCAAGUAUUCAAGUGUGUCCCAUAUCACAUUUCAUGCCUCUAUUUAUACUAUUACAUAGAAGGUUAUAAAAUGAUUGUCUUAAACAUGACAUUACCAAUUGAGAUCAUAGGAGAAGAUCAUAGGAAGGGGUUAUGGAGGUGUGAGAGUUACAAUCAUAAUAGUGAUGAGUAGUGAGAGGUUAUUUACAUCAUGGCUUAAAUUAGUGGGAGUAGUGGACAUCCACAUUUACUAAUAGUUUUACAACAAUUCCUCUUGGAUGUCAAAAAAUAGAUAAUAUGCUUCGUUAAAAUCUUACUAAGAAAAAAUCCCGUGGAAAAAAACUUAGUGAAGGAAAAAAAGUACACAUAUAUGUAAUACACUUUAUUUGUUGCCUCGUUAAAAACCUUACCAGGAAAACUGAUCACGUCCAAAGCACAUCUCAAAAGAGAUAUGAAACGGUCGUAUGCAAUAAUAGAAAUCCAACUAAGAGUCGGGGUCGAAUCCACAGGGAGCUAAGAUGGGAGUUAGAGGUAUAUAUUUCAAUUUGAGCAAUUGGAUUAUCUAGAUUGCACUUCCACAACAAGGAUCUGUUUUCUUUUUCCAAUGUUACUAUAAUGAUUGCAAAUUAAAGAAAGCAGACUAGAGAUAAUUAUUUUUAAGAUUUUUCCAAAUGGAUAAAAAACCUAGGGUUAUGACCAUGACCUAAGUGUUUGCCUAAUGCGCUGAAAACUUUAAUACUUGUUUUGUCGAUUGGUGUGUAUUAUAGCUCUUAACUCUAAAUUACCCACACAAUACCUCUCGGUAAAAGAGCGAUUUUUCUCCAUUUAGCUUUCUCAAGACCAAAUGGGCAUCACCCAAAAUAGUUGGUACGACCUCAAGUCGGGUUAUUGCUAUCUUUAGGUCGAACCUUUUAAUUAGGUUAACCAAUCUCUCAAUUGACCUAAUUCCUUGUUGGCCUAGUUAUCCUAGACUAGGUCCCUCUUUCUCAAAUAGAGACUAAGUCAAAUAGGCAUGAAUUAAUGUUUACAAUCAGUAAUUCUAUAAUUAAAGCAUGAACUAAGCUAAAUAAUCAACACCCAAUCAUAAAUAAGUAUUAAAUUAGAUACCUGAUAAGUGGAAAUUUUAACUACUUAUUAGCGUCUUUUAGCUUUUGUUUUAGUCUAAUAGCAUUAAAUUAUGUUCGCGAAACCAAUGAAAUUGUGCAAAAUUGCAGGAAUAUUAAAAAUUGGGCUCCCGAGAUGAAAUCCGACUCACAAAGGAGCAGUCCAAGUACAAAGCAAUAAAGGGAACACAAGCACACAAUGUGCGGUCCACAGAAGGAAUUCUACAGCCGCAGAAAAAAUUGCAGACCGCAAACAAAGAAGAAAAAAUUAGCAGACAUUUGUGCAAAUUGCGGACCACACAUGAAUUGUGCGAUCGCAAUGCUGGGCUAAGAGUCGAAGAUCAAAGAGUAUGCAAAAAGAGCAAGUUCAAGCCUCAAUGAAUUGCAGACCACACAAGAUUUGUGCGGCCGCAGAAGAUUGCCUUACGGCCGCAAUCCUAAUAUUGCGGACCGCAAAAGAUCUUCCUUGCGGCUGCAGUCCAAAAAUGUGUGGCCGCAGAAUAAUGCCUUGCGUCUAGUUCAUGCCAGAUGAAGAAAUCUGCGGAUCGCACAUGGAAUUGUGCGGCCGCAGAACCUCCCGAGGAGUAUUUUUGUUCGAGAUUUUCAGCCUUGUAUAAAUAGACGAGUUUCACAAAAUUAGGUCAAGUUUGACCUAUGAAGUUAGUUUAGCCAUUUUUCUUUGCUAUUUUAGGAAGUUUUACUUUGUUUUGGUGUAUUUAUAAUAGAUUUAAUCAUUUUAAUCUUUCAUUAUUAGUUUAAUUAGUUUUUCUUCUCUAUUUUCUUCAAACCCAAGUAUGAGUAGCUAGAUUUCUACUAGGGUUGUUACCCAACCCUAGUGUGUAAACCUUAUGGGUAUCUAAUUUAGUGCUUAUUUAUGAUUGAGUGUUUAUUAUUUAGCUUAGUUCAUGCUUUAAUUAUGAAAUUAAUUGUUGCAAAUAUUAGUUCAUGCCUAUUUGACUUAGUCUCUACUUGAGAAAGAAAGACUUAGUUUAGGAUAAUUUAGCUAACAAGGAAUUGGGUCAAUUGAGAGUUUGAUUAACCCAAUUAAAGGGUUCAACCUAGAGAUAGUAAUAACCCGACUUGAGCUCUUAUCAACUGUUUUGAGUUAUAUCCAUUUGGUCUUGAGAAAUCUAAAUUAGGCAAAACCACUCUCUGACUAAGAGGUAUUGAGUGGGUAAUUUAGAGUUGAUAACUAUAAUAUAUCCCAAUCAACAAAAUAAGUAUUAAAGUCUUUAUCCCAUUAGGCAAACACAUAGGUAAUGGUCAUAACCCUAGGCUUUUUAUCCAUUUGAAAAAACCUUUAAAAACAAUUUUCUUUAGUCUUCUUCCUUUAUUUUGCAAUUAAUAGAGUAAAAUUAGAAAUAGAAAAUAAAUCUGAUUGUGGAAAUGCAAUCUAGAUAAUCCAAUCACUCGCAUUGAAAUAUAUACCUCUAAUUCCCCUCUUAGCUCCCUGUGGAUUCGACCCCGACUCUUAGUUGGGUUUCUAUUAUUGCAAACGACUGUUUCAUAACUCUUUUGAUGUGUGCUUUGGACGUGAUCAAUUUCUGGCGUCGUUGCCGAGGAGUUAAAAAUGGGUUAGCUAUAUAUAUUUGGGUAUGUUUUUGGAGUAUCUUCUUUUCCUUCCGUGUUACUAACUUGUUUGAGAAAUCGUAGGUACAACCAUGAAAAACAAUGAGCUCGGAAAUAUUAUUUUGGGGGAUGUGGAUGUCGAGGAUUAGCAAGUUGAUGAGGUUCUUCUUGAACCUCAAGCUAAUAUAAGAGGCCGGGUGCCUCAAUGUCUCCGUUCCACCCCCACCUCCACCACGAGCGACUCCACACCGGGUGUUACCCAAAUGAAGGAUAUGCAAGUUCAAUAGUCCCUCCCCGUAUUAGGACGAGCAACUUUCAAAUCACCAAUGUGAUGCUCACUUUGCUAGAGAAACAAGGUUUCUUCACCGGUGCUCUAAGUCAAAAUGCAUACAAACAUUUGAAGGGAUUUGUGGACACUUGUUGGGGGAGCAAACAAAUAAAUAUCUCUGAGGAUGCAUUGAGGCUAAGGCUUUUUCCCUUCUCUCUACGGGAAAAAGCUUUAGAUUGGUUGGAACAUUUGUCGAACCAUUCCAUUCACACUUGGGAUGAGUUGGCGGAAAAGUUUAUUUCUAAGUUCUUCUCUCCGGGGCACAUGGCUACACUUCAGGAUGAGAUUUUGGCAUUCAAGCAAGAGCCAAAUGAAUCACUACACGAGAUAUGGGAACACUAUAGAAUAAUGGUUAGGGAAUGUCCCAACAAUGAUAUGACGAAGAAUAUGAUUCAAAAAACUUUCUACCGUGGGAUCAACACAACCAACCAAUGUGUAGUGAAUCAACUUGUAGGUGGGAACUUCAUGACUACGCCUAGGGGUGUACAAAUCGAACCGAAAAAUCACACCAAAUCGAUUAAAAAACCCGACUUGGUUUGGCUUGAUUUGGUUUGGUAUUGAGUAAAAACAAUCUGAAUCAACACGACAUAUAAAUAUAUAAUUUUUAUAUAUACAUUUAAUAUUUUACAUAGAAUUUUCUUUAAAAAAUGUGUAAAAAUUUUGGGAUUCUCUUGCAGGAUAUAAAUUUUAAUAGAAUAUGAAGUGCUCCAUAUUUAUUGACCUUAAAUAAUGGGUUGUAUGAUCAUUUUCUUAUCAAGUGUUACUGAAAUGCGUUUAUCUCUUUGUUCUUCCAUAUUCAUAUAAUAUGUUAAGAUCUAUUAAAUUCUUAUAGCUUUUUUUGAAUGUGAAGUGAUUAUUAAUAUUUAGGUAUCAUAUUGAUUUUUAUGUUUAAUUACUAGAUUUGGUUAACCUAAAAGUGUAUAUCAACGAAAAAUUAUUGUCAGACGACUAAAAAAAUAACUAUUAUAUUUUACUAAUAGAAUUCUCCCAUAAGAAUAUUUUAAUCGUUAAUAUAUUUGUCAAUUUUUUAUAUUUUUACUAAAUAUAUAUUUACUUAUCAAAUAUUUAACAAAGUAAGAUUGAAAUAAUAUUUAAGUAACAAAAGACCAGAAAACCCAAAAAAUCCGACAAAAUCGAACCAAUUCAAACCGAUAUAGUUGGUUUGGUUUGGUUUUGAUAAAAAUCGAAUCAACCCGGUCCAUGUACACCCCUAACUACGCCUUAUGCAAAGGCGUAUGAGGUUUUCGAUGAAAUGGCUGAAACAUCAUUGGCAUGGCAAUCCCGGGCUAAUGUUCCACAAGGCGAUCCCAACGUGAUCCACCUUCACAAAGAGUUACAUGACCAUGGGCAAACCAUUGUCGAAUUGACUACCACCAUGAAUCAAUUAGCAAAGACUCAACUUCAAGAAGUGCAAAAUCCUAAGAAAGUCAAUGCCAUAGAGGGGGUAAACAUGAUGGUGAACAAAAGGAGAACCAAGGUCCACAGGUAUAACAUCGAGUGGACAAUUUUGUGGAAGAGGAUAGUGAUUUUGAUGAAGAUGAUUCUUACAAUUACCAAUAAGAGGAGGUGCAAUAUGUGAACAACUUUCAAAGGCAACGAACCAACUUCUAAGGCCCAAAUCAACAACAAUGGCGACCUCAAAACAAUCAAGGCAAUUGGAAUUCUAACAACUAAUGAAAUUGGAGUGGUGGAAACAAUAAAGGGAAUUAGCAUAACAACAAUAAUCAAGGAAAUUGGGGGGAGGGUAACAAUCAAGGCGGAUGGAACCAUAAUCAAGCCAAUCAGGGGUCGGGUUUUCAAAGGCCCCCGAUGUAUCAACAACUGAACAACCCGCCUCUGUAUCCUUCCCAUGGUCCUAGUUCUUCAACCAAUGAGAUGGGAGUAUUGAGAACAUGUUUAAGCAAAUGAUGGAAAAGAAUGCUGAUUCGGAUCCCAACUUGCCUCACACAACACAUCGAUCCACAACUUAGAAGUUCAAAUGGGGCAAAUCUCUCAAGCUCUAAAUUCUCAUCCUAAUAGGACACUACCAAGUGACACGGUGGUAAACCCAAAGGGUGGCAAAAACACGGGGCAUGCCAUGGUCGUUACUAAAAGAAGUGGAAGAGGUGGGAAUGUAUCCACCUCAAGUCAAAAGCAAAUGAGCAAGUGGAGCAAGAAGAAGAUCUCGAACAAUAUGGUGCAAGCAAAUGAUGAAGUUCGGAUUGAUAUUGAUGACAAUUUGGAAGAGACUCAAGAGGAGGUGAACCCAUCUAGGGAUCACAUUAUUGACAUACCGGAACUGAUAGUGCAAAAUGCUACGGCACCAUUUCCUAAUCCUCCAUCUCCAUACCCUCAAAGACUUGCCAAACAAAAUGGCAAGAAUCAAUUCAAAACGUUCAUUCAAAUGAUGAAGAGUCUCUCAAUCAAUGUGCCAUAAGUUGAAGCUUUGGAACAAAUGCCCGGUUAUGCAAAGUUUAUGAAAGAUCUUGUGACAAAGAAAUAAUAAAUGAAUUUUGAAAAUAUAAAAGUCACUCAUAAAGUGAAUGCAAUUGUGCAUUCAAUGGCUCUUAAGUUGGAAGAUCCCGGUGCUUUCACGAUUCCUUGUACAAUUGGAAGUGUCGAGUUUGCUAAAGCUCUUUGUUAUCUUGGGGCAAGUAUCAAUUUGAUGCCCUAUUCGGUUUUCAAGACCUUGGAAAUUGGGAAACCAAAACCCACCUAUAUGAGAUUGCAAAUGGAUGAUCGUACCAUGAAGAGACUUUUGGGGUGAUUGAAGAUGUCUUGGUUCAUGUUGAUAAAUUUAUUCUUCUGGCGGAUUUUGUCAUUCUAGAUUGUGAAGUUGAUUAUGAGGUGCCGAUUUUUAUUGGAAGACCUUUCCUUGCUACGGGGAAGGCUCUUUGUGAUGUUGAAGCUAGAGAACUCACUUUCCGGGUGGGUAAUGAAAAAGUGAUAUUCCAUGUGUGCAAGUCCAUGCGGUAACCAAAUAGCAACGAGAUGUGUUCUUUUGUGGAUUUAGUGACCUAUGUUAUUGUUGAUGAUACAAGUACCACGAUCAAUAUUGGUGAUAUGUUGGAGGCCGUCUUGCUCAACCUUGAUGAGGACGAUAUGGAUGGCUUUGUGAAAUAUGUGAACUCUUUGCAAGGAAUUGGGUCAUACAAUUAUGCACCCCUGAAACUAUCUUUGGAUCUUGAAAAUAGGAAAACUCCUCCUACAAAGCCUUCCAUUGAAGAGCCUCCUACCUUGGAGUUGAAGUCAUUACCUCCACAUAUUUGGUAUGAAUUUCUUGGCCAUUGUUCUACUUUACCGAUUAUUCUUUCCUCUUGUUUGACUAACGUGCAGGUAGAUUCUACAUUGGAGGUGCUACAUAAGAGGAAGAAGGCUAUUGGGUGGACAUUGGCGGAUAUUCGGGGGGAUAAGCCCUGCAUUUUACAUGCAUAAGAUCAACUUGGAGGAAGGCGCCAAACCAUCUAUUGAACAUCAAAAGAGACUCAAUGAGGCUAUGCAAGAAGUUGUCAAAAAGGCGAUUAUCAAGUGGUUGGAUGUCGGGGUUGUCUACCUCAUUUCAGAUAGUUCGUGGACUUCUCCGGUUCAAUGUGUCCCAAAGAAGGGGGGCAUGAUGGUGGUCACCAAUGACAAGAAUGAAUUGAUUCCUACAAGAACGGUGACCGGUUGGAGAUUGUGUAUGGACUAUCGCAAGCUCAACAAUCACAAGGAAGGAUCAUUUUUCAGUUCCCUUCCUAGACCAAAUGCUUUCUAUUGCUUUCUUAAUGGGUAUUCGAGCUAUAACUAAAUCCUUAUUGCUCCGGAGGAUCAAUAGUAAACAACCUUUGCAUGUCCCUAUGGUACUUUCGCCUUCAAGCGAAUGCCAUUUGGUUUGUGUAAUACACCGACGACCUUUCAAAGGUGUAUAAUAGUUUUCUUCACGGACAUAGUGGAGGACUACCUUGAAGUUUUCAUGGAUGAUUUCUCGGUGGUUGGGGAUUCUUUUGAUGAUUGUCUUGCAAAUUUAGAUAAAGUGUUGGCAGGAUGUGAAGAAACGAAUUUGAUGAUCAACUGGGAGAAGUGUCAUUUCAUGAUCGAGAAAAGCAUUGUCCUUGGCCACAAAAUCUCAAAGAAUAGAAUUGAAGCUGACAAGGCAAAUAUUGAGGUGAUUUCUAAACUUCCACCUCCAACUUUGGUGAAGGGUGUGUGGAGUUUCUUAGGCCACCCAAGGUUUUAGCGGCGUUUCAUCAAAGAUUUUUCUAAGGUGGUGAACCCGUUAUGCAAGCUCCUUGAGAAAUAUGCUAAGUUUAACUUCAAUGAUGACUGCAUGAGAGUUUUUGAAUUGUUAAAGUUCAAGUUGGCAACUAUUCCCAUCAUCUCCACUCCAAAUUAGAGUGUUCCUUUUGAACUCAUAUGUGAUGCAAGUGACGUAGUGGUUGGGGCUGUUUUGGGGUCAUACAUCAACAAGAUUUUUCAUUUGGUAUACUAUACUAGUAAGACCAUGAAUGAUGCCCAAGUCCACUAUACCGUUAUGGAGAAAGAGCUCAUUUCCAUUUUGUUUGCAAUUGAGAAGUUUCGUCCGUACUUGAUGGGUGCCAAGUUCAUUGUCCACAUGGAUCAUGCGGCACUACAUUAUCUAAUGAGCAAAAAAGAUUCCAAAACUCAGUUGAUGAAAUGGGUGCUCUUGUUGCAAGAAUUUGAUAUUGAUAUCCAAGAUAGAAAAGGAAGUGAAAACCAAGUGGCAGACCACUUGUCUCAUUUAGAGGACGAAGGUAGGCUGCAUGAUAGCCUUGAAAUCAACGACUACUUCCCCGAUGAGCAACUCUUAGCUAUUUCAAAGAAAGAGGUGCCAUGGUUCACAGAUCUAGCAAAUUUCCUUGUGUGUGGUAUCAUCCCGGAUGAGUUCUUUUUAAACUAAAGGAAGAAGCUCAAACGGGAUUGUCAAGAUUAUUAUUGAGAUGAACCAUAUCUUUUCUGGAUUUAUACGAAUGAGGUGAUUAGAAGAUGUGUACCGGAAGAAGAGCAAUGUGAAAUUCUUGGAGCUUGUCAUUCUUUGCCAUAUGGUGGUCAUCAUGGUGGAGCAAGAACGACGACAAAAGUUCUAAGUUGCAAUUUCUAUUAGACCACUAUUUACAAGGAUGCUAGUAAGCUAGUGAAAAGAUGUGAUGAAUGUCAACGGGGCGGUGGAAUCUCGAAGAAAAAUGAAAUGCCUCUCACUACCAUUUUGGAGAUUGAUAUUUUUGAUGUGUGGGGUAUUGACUUCAUGGGUCCUUUUGUGAUUUCUUGUGGAAACACCUACAUCUUGGUCGCGGUUGAUUAUGUGUCUAAAUAGGUUGAGGUCGUUGCUCUGCCCAACAAUGAGGCGAGAAGUGUGGUGGCAUUCUUGAAGAAGAAUAUUUUCACAAGGUUUGGUACUCUGCGGACUAUUAUAAGCGAUGGGGGGUCAUAUUUUUGCAACAAGGCCUUCGACACUUUACUUAUCAAGUAUGGUGUUACUCAUAAAGUCAUAACUCCCUAUCAUCCGCAAGCUAGCAGUCAAAUGGAAGUCUCCAACCGGGAGAUAAAGAGUAUUUGUUCCAAAAUAGUGAAUGCUAACCGAACGGAUUGGUCCAAGAAGCUUGAUGAUACAUUAUGGCUUAUCGGAGGCUUACAAAACACCUAUCGGAAUGUCUCCAUACCGGUUGGUGUUCAGCAAAGCUUGUCAUCUUCUAGUGGAACUAGAUCACAAGGCCAUGUGGGAUCUAAAGAAGUUGAAUCUUGAUUGGGAUGUACCCGCUAACUUAGGGUUGCACAUUUGAAUGAAUUGGAUGAUUUCUGGUACCAUGCUUAUGCAAGUUCGUCCUUGUACAAACAAAAAAUGAAAUAUCUUCACAAAAAAUAUAUUUGGAACAAAGAGUUCAAGGUGGUCGAUCUUGCAUUGUUGUUUAACUCAAGGUUGAGAAUGUUUCCCGGGAAGUUAAAGUCUAAAUGGAGUGGACCUUUUGAUAUUGUGGGUGUAACGCCUUUUGGUGCAUUGGACAUGAAUAAAAAAAACAAUGAGGUAUUACGAGUCAAUGGUCACCGGGUGAAGCACUAUUUGGGAAAAGUUGGAGAUGGCCACGUCGUGGCGGUCAUUCAUUUCAAUUGAUGGUAUUCUGUGUCAUGUUGCGACAUUAAAUCAGGCGCUUCUUGGAAGGCAACCCAUGUUUCUUUUCCUUUUAUUUUCUUCUUUUGUAGUUAGAUGUUAUUUUUGUGUUAACUUGAUUCGAAGUGUGCUACAUGUAUGAGUGUUCCUUACAUGAAUGGUGGACAGAAAACUGUCUAAGUGUUGCAAGAUUUGCGGACCGCAGUUAAAUUGUGCGGAACGCACAUUUACAGUUGUUGCAGGAAAAGUGCUCUACAGCCGCACAAUUAUCUUGCGGACCGCACAAGUGGGAGGUGGAAUAUACCAACUCUCUGAAGUUGUUCUGUCAGAAAAAGAGUCGAUUUGUGGCCGCACCAGGAAAUCUACAGCCGCAACAAGGCAUCUGCGGCCGCACACACAAUUCAGCGGACCGCAAACAAAAAGUCGAUUUAAGCUCCCAGGUAACAGAGUGCGGACCGCAACUCAAAUUGUGCUGCCGCACUCGCCCCUAUUUCCCUUAAGAACAUCAACUGUAUAAAUAGAGGGCUACGGCUAGUAUUACACUUUUCCCUCUCUGAGCACAAAAGCUUGCACUAUAGUGAAAUCUCUUGGUAAAUCAUUUGCCCACACGUCCAACAAUUGUGAUCACUCAUCCCUUGCACUUAUUCACAUCUGGUAUGCUUAAAUUUCUUGUUAGAAUAUUUUCAUUUUUUAGUUUAAACCGUAGUAUUAAAGUACUUUUAGGCCAUUUGUCAGUAGAACUCAAUUGUACAACCAUGUGGGGGUAAAUCUGUAGUGGGUUAACUAAUACUUGUUUAUUGGGGACUAGGUCAAUGUAUUUUCGUGCAUUUAUGUUGUUUCCAUGUCAAAAUUUGCACAAAAAUUGCAAAACCUAGUUAAUCAUACUGGACAGUUCAUGUUCUUUGAAUUCUGCGGCCGCAAGAAAAUUGUGUGGUCCGCAGAAAUUGAUCUAGGUCAACACUAGUGAGAAACAAUCUGCGGCCGCAAGAACAUUUUGUGGACCGCAGAAUUCUCAUUGCGGUCGCAAAACAAUCAUUGUACUGUCAUCAGAGAGUCUAUAAAUUUGUGACUCAAAUGUGCGGCCGCAAGACAAAUUGUGCGGACCACAGAAAACAUACUGCAGCCGCACAUCAGCCAAUUCUCUGUCAUCAGAGAGUUGGCACAUUUUAAGUCUCUGAGUUGCGGACGCAAGUGAAAUUGUGCGGAUCACACUUCACUUCUACGACCACAAUCCUAAAUUCUGCGGUUCGCAAGGCUUCAUCUGUGGCCACAAUAAAAUUGUGCGAACGGCGGGUCCUUCCCCUCAAGAAUAUUGUGUUUGUGACCCUCACUGUGUUUUUUGGUGUUUUCUUGUAUAUCUCUUGUGUCUGAUUGAACAUUGAAUUGUAACUAACAACUGCGUCUAUUUGAUACAGAAAAUGGUUCAAUCUAGAGGCAGAGGUGACACUUCUAAAGGGAGGGGUGAACCUUCUCGGGGACGAGGCAAGAGAGCCUUACAUGGUGCCCAACAGUAGGAAAUUAGAAAAAAGACAACAUUUGGGAGAGGGAGAGAUGCAAAUCUCUCCGAGAAGAGUUCAUACGCCCCCGUCUAGGGACGUAUCAGAGGGAAACUCAACCUCUGUCCAGGAAUAACUGGCAGUACAGUCCAAGCCGUUAGGGAGAUUUCAAUUGAGGGACGAGCCGUCCUCAUCCUACAGCACUUCCGAGGGUUCGGAAAGUACUAGUCAGGAUUCUGAGCCAUCCACUACACCUAUCCUUGAGGCACCAGUUACAUCAGUUCAGGACAUACCCGAUGAAGGUAGAGGGGGAGAUGCCAUAACUGCUGGGAUUGAAAGAACAAAGAAAAAAGAGGUUUGGGAGGACCGAUUCGUCAGCCUAGCAGCUUUCACUAGUUUUCGCACAUGGUGGCUAGUGAGGUCGCUAACACUUGAGCAACAUAUCUUAUUGAUAGAUCUAGAGAGGGAUAACCUGGUCGUGCUGAGGAAGUUUAGGGAGAGCAAGGGGUGGACGUGGUUUACCCAGAGUGUGGUGGAUGCUAAGGAAUACCUUGUCCGAGAAUUGUAAGCCAAUGUGACGCAUAUCAAAAAGGGGACAAAGGUGACAAAAGUGAAAAAUCUCAUAGUGCGAUUUGACCAGCACACACUGAACACAUACUUGGGCUUUGAUGAUGUCGAGCCAACACAAUACCUGGAAAAGUGUGCACUUGGGGAUGCAGUUCAUCCUUGGUUAGCAAAAAUUCUAGCGGCACUAGGACCACCACCACCAUGGAUCAAUGCUGGAGUUCCUAUUCACCGGGGCACACUGAGGUUUGAAGCAAAAGGGUGGCAAUCAUUUGUUUGUAGUAGACUGGACCUGAGUGAAAAUGAGACUCACUCGCCGAUUCCUCGGGCAGUCUUAGUUGCCUCCAUUAUGCCCGGGUACCCUAUCAAUGUGGGUGUUGUGAUGUCGGCCAACAUUUUUAUGAUAGCCUGACAUGAUGAUUCUUCCUACCCAUACCCCAACAACAUUACAGAGUAUCUUACAGAUGAGGGGGUGGAGCCAGGGGAUUUUGAUACAAAGGUGAGGCCGAAGAAGCCUUUCUCAUGGUACUCACUUCUGGAUGCAAACAACCCAAGAGAAAAGGUCAGUCGUCUACCACCACAGGCCAGUCUGAUGAGCCAGUUGUGGUAGUUGCAAAGGUAGUUUAUGUUCCAUCCACUUAGGCCGAGCCUUCCUCCAGUGCCGUAGCUAUGACUCCACCAUUAUCUACAGCCCCUUCUGCAGAUCCUGCCACAGUUUCCACUUCGAAUUUGAAGCCGGUGCCCAUGCCUACUGCUCCACUUUCUAGGCUGUGAGUCUCCUAAACAUUGGUAAGCCUCAACAACUGGAUGCAGACAACAACUGCAAAGUUGUCUGACUUAUCCAGUGUUGUUGUAGCACAGUUUACUGUUCAGGCACCUCGGUUUCCCCCCACAGUUAAGGAAACAUUAAAGAAGAUCCUAGAGAACCAGAACACCAUCAUGGCUACCUUGGUAUAGCACAGGCCAGUGAUCGAAGAGCUGGGCAAAGAAGUAAAGAAGAUGAGAAAGUCUCAGGCUAACAAGAAGUCAGUGGACAAGCUCUGGAGAUAGGUGACCAAGCUUGCUGCAUCCGGAGAUAUCCCCUUUGACAUGUUGAUCGACCCAGAUCCGCCAGUCUAAGGAGCCAGACUCUGCUGCCGACACUGCCGAGGAAGUGCAUCAAAAGUUCACCAACCCAGUCACACCCAGAGUUGAGGAUGAUGAGAUUCAGUUGGAUAAAACUGAGGGCGGUGACAUUGUUGGGGAUAUAGAGAUGUCCAAAGAGCCAUAAGGAGUUUUUCUCACUCUCUUUCCUCUUUUACUCUUAUUUUGUUAAGCAUUGGGGACAAUCUUAUUAUUAUUCGGGGUGUGGAGUUUAUUUGAUCUUAUUUGGUACAUUCUAAGACAAUUGGCCUGUAAUAACUUGAUAUUAUUUUCUUUCUCUUUCGUAUUCUGUAUAUAUUCUUUUUUUUUUCUCAUUAUGUAUAUUCAGUAGUUUUUGUUUAUUAGCUUCUUCAUUUUUGUUUCUUUGUGAGUUCCUAGUUUGAGUUAGUAGCUUCUUUGUUUGAUUUAGUAGAUUCUUUAUAUGUUCAAGUAGAUAACAAUCCUUUGGUUUUCCUAAUGCCACGGUUCUUUCCAAAGGUAGUUGUUGUGUGAACCGGGUGACUCGUCCCAACGAUGGAUGUCAUGACAACCUUCUUAAGGGAAUGAGUCUAUUUUUGGUGUUUAGAUAAUAAUAGUAGUAGUAAUGAAUAAAAAGACCUAAUUAAGUCAUACUCGAAGAGUCAAACAUGCUUCAAUCGGUACCAACAGACUUAACUAUGUGCUUAUCAUUAGAAACAAGGUUUUUGAAAUCAAUAGCUCUAGUUAGUGACUUUGUGACUCUUGUAUUGACUUUGGCAACCAUCGAGUGGUUUAAUUGAACCAUAGUAAUUUUCAAUCUUAAAUGUGGUCGUUGUGGGCCCUCGACUCUAUCCUCUUUAACAAUCCAGUUGCGUGAGGGGUGAGAUGCUUUGUUUCUAGUCCAAGUAUUUGUGCGAAAAGGUCUAGAACUUGCCCCGAAUGUGUUUCAAGGAAAAAUCCUAAGUUUUGCUUGGCUUGAAAAUUGAUUGUAGGCUUCCCUUGGCCCGUUUGAGUUUUCUAUUACCUACCAAUGUUGUGAUCCCUAUUCAACCCCUUUGAGCCUCGAGCCUUUCUCAUUUGACAACCAUGUUACAAGCCUUUACCCAUUUGGUCGUGACCCUCUCUUGGCACCUGAGCUUUCCUUAACACUCUUGUGAAACAAUUGGCUAAACACGUAAGUUUGGGGGAGAGACGAGGAUUGACAAAAAGGUAUCAAGGCACAAAAAGAGAAAAGAAAUGAUGAGAAGGAAAGUCAAAGAAAAGAAAAGAACAAAAAGAAAAAUGCAAAAUAAGUGAAUAAGUGGAAGAGUUUAAGGGAUUCAAAGAGAGGUAAUGAUCCCAAACAUGGAGAAAUCAAAGAGGGAGAAAAUGAAUGUAAUGAUCAAGAAAGAGUGAUGUUAAGUCUCUCUAUUCCCCCAAGGAAAAGAAAGUACCUCAAAGAAUUGGCAAAGUGUGAGCCGAGAAAUGAAAAAUGGAGUGCUUAAGGAAAGGUGUAACCACUCACCCAUACUGUAUCAAACCUUAAUCCAAAAGCCUUCAUUACAUCCCGAAAGAAGUCCUACUUGAUUUGAAUCCGAGUGAGCUUACAUUAGCGGUGAUCUACAUGAGGGGCAAACCUAUGGUACUUGAAGCCGUACUUGCAACAUUCUCUUGAGAGAGAUGAAUAAACCUACCAUAUAUCUUUGGAUAAAUUGCUAAAUUUCUUAAGUGAGCCAAGCGAAUGAGAAGUAGAGGAGGAAGAGUUUGGAGUCCACCAUGACCUACAUGAUAGAUCAAGAGUCCUUGAUGAGUGAAGUCAAUUCUUGAAGCUCAAAUGUCACAUUAAAACUAUAUGUGCAUAAAUGUUUAACUUGUUGCCUUGUUGAUAAUACAUGGGUAGUGUGGGUAAUUGUUGGUCCAACUGAUGUGUGAAUGGCUCACCUUCGACUCGUUGAAAUGACCCUUAACUUUUGGAGGUGGGAACUAAUUUAUUUGCUUGAGGACAAGCAAAGACUUAACUUUGGGGGAGUUGAUAAGUAGAUAUUUUGACUACUUAUUAGCGGCUUUUAGCUUUUGUUUUAGUCUAAAAGCAUUGAAUUGUGUUCUCGAAACUAAUAAAAUUGUGCAAAAUUAUAGGAAUGCUAAAAAUUGGGCUCCCGAGAUAAAAUCCGACUUAAAAAGGAGCAGUCCAAGCACAAGGCAAUAAAGGGCACAUAAGCACACAAUGUGCGGUCCGCAAAAGGAAUUCUGUGGUUGUAGAAGAAAUUGUGGACCGCAAAAUUCCAUCUGCGGCCGCAAACAAAGAAGGAAAAAUUAGCAGACAUUUGUGCAAAUUGCGGACCGCACAUGAAUUGUGCGGCCGCAAAGCUGGGCUAAGAGUCGAAGAUUAGAGAGUAUGCAAAAAGACCAAGUCCAGAUCCUGAGUGAAUUGCAGACCGCACAAGAUUUGUGCGGCUGCAGAAGAUUGCCUUGCGGCCGCAAUCCUAAUAUUGCAGACCGCAGAAAAGCUGUCUUACGACCGCAAUCCAAAAAUGUACGGUAGCAGAAGAAUGCCUUGCGGCCACAGAACUCCAGUUCAUGCCAGAUGAAUAAAUCUGCAGACCGUACAUGGAAUUGUGCAGCCGCAAAACCUCCCGAGGGGUAUUUUUGUCUGAGAUUUUCAGGCUUGUAUAAAUAGACGAGUUUCACAAAAUUAGGUCAAGUUUGAACCUCAAAAGUUGUUGUAGCCAUUUAGCUUUACUACUUUAGGAAGUUUUAGAUUGCUUUGGUGUAUUUACAAUAUAUUUAAUCAUUUUAAGCUUCCAUUAUGAGUUUAAUUUGUUUUUCUUCCUUAUUUUCUUUAUACCCCAUUAUGAGUAGCUAGACUUUACUAGGGUUGUGACCCAACCCUAGUGUGUAAACCUUAUGGGUAUCUAAUUUAAUGCUUGUUUAUGAUUGGGUGUUGAUUAUUUAGCGUAGUUCAUGCUUUAAUUGUAGAACUAAUGGUUGCAAAUAUUAAUUCAUGCAUAUUUGACUUAGUCUCUACUUGAAAAAGAGGGACCUAGUCUAGGAUAACUAGGCCAACAAGGAAUUGGGUCAAUUGAGAGAUUGAUUAACCCAAUUAAAGGGUUCAACCUAGAGAUAGUAAUAACCCGACGCGAGCUCUUAUCAAUUGUUUUGGGUGAUACCUAUUUGGUCUUGAGAAAGCUAAAUGGGGCAAAACCACUCUCUUAUCGAGAGGUAUUGAGUGGAUAAUUUAGAGUUGAGAGCUAUAAUACACCCCAAUCGACAAAACAAGCAUUAAAGUCUUUAGUCCAUUAAGAAAACACCUAGGUCAUGGUCACAACCCUAGGCUUUUUAUCCAUUUGGAAAAACCUUAAAAAUAAUUAUCUCUAGUCUUCUUUAUUUAUUUUGCAAUCAUUAGAGUAACAUUGGAAAAAGAAAACAAAUCUUUGUUGUGGAAGUGCAAUCUAGAUAAUCCAAUUACUCAAAUUGAAAUAUAUACCCCUAAAUUCCAUCUUAGCUCCUUGUGGAUUCGACCCCGACUCUUAGUUGGGUUUCUAUUAUUGCAAAAUGAUNNNNNNNNNNNNNNNNNNNNNNNNNNNNNNNNNNNNNNNNNNNNNNNNNNNNNNNNNNNNNNNNNNNNNNNNNNNNNNNNNNNNNNNNNNNNNNNNNNNNNNNNNNNNNNNNNNNNNNNNNNNNNNNNNNNNNNNNNNNNNNNNNNNNNNNNNNNNNNNNNNNNNNNNNNNNNNNNNNNNNNNNNNNNNNNNNNNNNNNNNNNNNNNNNNNNNNNNNNNNNNNNNNNNNNNNNNNNNNNNNNNNNNNNNNNNNNNNNNNNNNNNNNNNNNNNNNNNNNNNNNNNNNNNNNNNNNNNNNNNNNNNNNNNNNNNNNNNNNNNNNNNNNNNNNNNNNNNNNNNNNNNNNNNNNNNNNNNNNNNNNNNNNNNNNNNNNNNNNNNNNNNNNNNNNNNNNNNNNNNNNNNNNUUGUAAAUACACCAAAGCAAUGUAAAAGUUCCUAAAGUAGUAAAGCAAAAUGGCUACAACAAUUUCAGAGGUUCAAACUUGACCUAAUUUUGUGAAACUCGUCUAUUUAUACAACGCUUAAAAUCUCGGACAAAAAUGCCCCUCGGGAGGUUCUGCGGCCGCACAAUUCCAUGUGCGGUCCGCAGAUUUCUUCAUCUGGCAGGAACUGGAGUACUGCGACCACACUUUUCUGAACUGCGGUUGUGAGGCAUUCUUCUGCGGCCGCACAUUUAUGGACUGCGGCCACAAGGCAACUCUUUUGCGGUCCGCACAAUUAGGAUUGCGACCGCAUAAUUCUUGUGUGGUCCGCAAUUCAGUGAGGCUUCUGGACUUGGUCUUUUUAUAUACUCUCUGAUCUUCGACUCUUAGCCCAGCUUUGCGGCCGCAUAAUUCAUAUGCGAUCUAUAGUUUGUGCAAAUGUCUGCUAAAUUCAUCCUCCUGGUUUGCGGCCGCAGAUGGAAUUCUGCGGUCCGCAAUUUCUUCUGCGGACGCAGAAUUCCUUCUGUAGACCGCACAUUUGUGUUUCUACUCCCUUUAUUUCCUUGUGCUUCAGAUUGCUCCUUUUUGAGUUGGAUUUCAUCUCGGGAGACCAACUUCCAGCAUUCCUAUAACUUUGCACAAUUUCAUUAGUUUUGGGAACAUAAUUCAAUGCUUUUAGACUAAAACAAAAGCUAAAAGGCGCUAAUAAGCUGUUAAAACCCCACUUAUCAACUCCCCCAAACUUAAGUUUUUGCUUGUCCUCAGGCAAACAAAUUAGUUCCCACCUCUAAAAGUUAAGGAUCAUUCCAGCGACUCAAAGGUAAGCCAUCCAUACUUCAAUUGGGACCAACAAUGACCCACACUACUCAUGUAUUAUCAUCAAGGCGACAAGUUAAAUAUUCAUGUACAUAUAGUUCUAAUGUGACAUUUGAACUUCAAGAAUUGACUUUACUCAUCAAGGACUCUUGCUCUAUCAUGCAGGUCAUGGUGGACUCCAAACUCUUUCUCCUCUACUCUCCAUUUCCCUGGCUCACAUAAGAAAUUUAGCACUCAAUCAAAAGAUUUAUGAAAGGUUCACUCACCUUUCUCAAGAGAAUGUCGCAAGUACGAUUUUAAGUACCAUAGGCUUACCCCCCAUAUAGAUCGCCACUAAUGUAAGCUCACGUGGAUUGAAAUCAAGUAGGACUUCUUUCGGGAUGUAAUGAAGGCAUUUGGAUUAGGGUUAGAUACAAUAUGGGUGAGCGGUUACACCUUUCCUUAAGCACUCCAUUCUUCAUUUCUCGGCUAACACUUUGCCAAUUCUUUGAGGCACUUUCUUUUCCUUGGGAGAGUAGAGAGACUUAACAUCACUCUUUCUUGAUCAUUACAUUCAUUUUUUCCCUCUUUGAUUUCUCCAUGUUUGGGAUCAUUACCUCCCUUUUGAAUCCCUUCAACUCUUCUGCUUAUUCAUUAUUUUAUAUUUUUCUUUUUGUUCUUUUCUUUUCUUGCCUUUCCUUCUCAUCAUUUCUUUUCUCUUUUGUGCCUUGAUACCUUUUUUAAGUUCCUCGUAUCUCCCCCCAAACUUAUGUUUUUAGCCAUUUUUUAAAGAGUGUUAAGGAAAGCUCGGGUGUCAAGAGAGGGUCACGAUAAAACGGGUGAAGGCUUGUAACAUGGUCAUCAAAUGAGAAAGGCUCGAGGCUCAAAGGGUUGACUAGGGAUAAUGACAUUGGUUGGCAAUAGAAAACUCAAACAGGCCAAGGAGGGCCUACAAUCACUUUUCAAACCAAGCAAAACUUAGGAUUUCGCCUCAAAACACAUUCGGGGCAAGUUCUAGACCCUUCGUGUAGAUACUUGGACUAGCAACAAUUUAUCUCACCCCUCACGUAACCGGACUAUUAAAGAGGACAUAGUCGAGGGACCACAACGAUCACAUUCAAUUUUAAAAAUCACUAUGGUUCAAUUAAAUCACUCGAUGGUUGCCAAAGUCAACACACGAGUCACAAAGUCACUAACUAGAGCUAUUUCUUUCAAAAACCUUAUUUCUAACCAUAAGCACAUAGUUAAGUGUGUUGGUACCAAUUGAAGCAUGUUUGACUCUUCGAGCAUGACUUAAUUAGGUCUUUUUAUUCAUUACUACUACUAUUAUUACCUAAACACAAAAUAAACGGACUCAUUCCCUUAAGAAGGUUGUCACGCCAUCCAUCGUUGGGACGAGUCACCCGGUUAACAUAACAACUACCUUUGGAAAGAACUGUGACAUUAAGAAAAUCAAAGGCUUAUUAUCUACUAAAACAUAAAAAAAGAUACUAAAGCAAACAAAGAAGCUACUAACUCAAACUAAGAACUAACAAAGAACAAAAAUAAAGAAGCUAAUAAACAAAAAUUACUGAAUACAUAUAAUGAGAGAAAAAGAGAGAAUAUAUACAAAAUAAGAAAGAAAAAGAAAAUAAUAUCAAGUUAUUACACACCAAAUGUCUCAGAAUGUACCAAAUAUGAUCAAUAAACUCCACCCCCCUCAGAAUAAAUAUAAGCAUUGUCCCCAAUGCUUAACAAAAUAAGAGUAAAAGAGGGGAAAAAAUGAAAAAAACUCUCUAUGGCUCCUUGGACAUCUCUGUGUCCCUAGCAAUGUCACUGCCCUCAGUCUCAUCUAAUUGAAUCUCAUCAUCCUCAAUUCUAGGUGUGACUAGGUUGGUAAACAUUCGACGCACUGCCUCGGUAGUGUCAGUAGCAAAAUCUGGCUCCUUAGUCUGGCCAGCUGGUGCCACUGGUGCUGAUGAUGCUGUAGGAUCUUGGCCUGAAGGGUGUGGGUCGAUCAACAUGUCAAAGGGGAUAUCUCCGGCUGCAGCAAGCUUGGUCACCUGUCUUCGGAUCUUGUCAACUGACUUCUUGCUGGCCUGGGACUUUCUCAUCUUCUUUACUUCUUUUCCCAGCUCUUCGAUCACUGACCCGUGUUGUACCAAGGUAGCCACGAUGGUGUUCUAGUUCUCUAGGAUCUUCUUCAAUGUCUCCUCAACUUUCAGGGGAAACUAAGGUGCAUGAAUAAUAGAUUUUCCUGCAGCAGUACUGGAUAGGUCAGACAACUUUGCAGUUACUGUCUGUAUCUAAUUGUUGAGACUUGCCAAUGUCUGGGAGACUCGCAACGCACAAAGUGGAGCAGUAGGCAUGGGCACCGGCUUCAAAGCCGAAGUGGAAGCUGUGGCAGGAGCUGCAGAUGAUGGCAGAGGUAUGACUGCAGCAUUGGAUAUGAUCGACCGAAGUGGAUGGAAUAACAACUGCCUCGGUAGAUACCAUAGCUGGUUCGUCAGACUGGCCCGUAGUGGUAGGAGGCUAAACUUUCUUUCUCGGAUUCUUUGAAUCCAUUAGUGAAUACCAAGUGAAAUGCUUUUGCGGCCUCACCUUUAUGUCACAAUCUCUCGGCUAUACCCGUGCAUCUGUGAUGUAUUAUGUGAUAGUGUUAGGAUAUGGAUAGGAUGAGUCAUCCUGCCAAGCAAUCAUUGAGAUAUUGGCUGACAUCACGGCCCCCACAUUGAUAGGGUACCCGACCAUAAUAGAAGCAACCAAGAUUUCCCGAGGAAUUGGAAGGUUAGUCUCAUUCUGGCACGGAUCUAGUUUGCUGCACACAAAAUUUUGCCACCCCUUUGCCUUAAAACUCAUCUUUCUCCUUUGGAUAGGAACCCCAUCGGCAAUCCAUGGUGAUGGUGGCCCUGGUGCUGCUAGAAUCUAUGUUAACGCAUCUCCCAUCUCCAAAUAUUCCUUUGGCUCAAUGUCUUUAAAACCCAAGUAUGUGUUGAGUGUAUGCUGAUCAAAUCUCACUUUAAGGUUACGCAUAUAUGUUGAGUGUAUGCUGAUCAAAUCUCACUUUAAGGUUACGCACUUUGGUGACCUUUGUCCUAUUUUUUAUAUGCGCCACAUUGGCGUAGAAUUUACGGACAAGGUACUCCUUGGCAUCCACCACACUCUGGGUGAACCACAUCCACCAUUUUUGUUCCUUGAACUGUCUCAACAUUGCUGGGUUUUGCUUCUCUAGAUCUUUCAACUAAAACUGUCACUCAAGUGUAAGCGAUCUCACUGGCCACCAUAUAUGAAAGCUAGUGAAGGAGACCAAGAUGACAAACCGAUCCUCCCAGACCUCUUUCCUCCUCGACCUUUCAAAGUCGGCAGUUGUGGCAUCUCCCUCUCUGUCAUUAUCGGGGAUGUCCUGAACAAAUGUAUCUUGUGCCUCAAGGACAUGUUCAAUGGAUGGCUUAGAAGCAUGACUAGCACUUUUCGAACCCUCGGAAGUACUAUGAGAUGAGGACGGCUCGUCCCUAAGUUGAUAUCUCCCUAGAGGCCUUGACUAUACAGUCGGCUGCUCUUGAACAGAGGCUAAGUUGCCCUUUGAUGCUUCCCUAGACGGGACAUAGGAGCUCAUCUUGGAGAGAUCUGCACCUCUCCCUCUACCGGUUGUAGAUUUCUUUAUUAUUGUCCUUUGUUGGCCGAGGGGUAAGGCACUCUUGCCUCGACCCCUAGAAAGUUCACCCCUCCCUUUAAAAGUGUCACAUCUGCCUCUAGAUCGAACCAUUCUAUGUAUCAAGCAAAGGCCAUUGUUAGUUGCAAUUCAAAGUUCAGACAUACAAUGAGAUAUGCAAGUAUACACUAGAAAACACAGUGAGGUUCACAGUUGAAACAUGCUUGCAGGAUAAGGGUCUGCGGUCCGUACAAUUUUCUUGCAGCCGCAGAUGAGGCCUUGUGGACAACAUAAUUCUUCCUUGCGGCCGCAAAUUUGAGUCACAAUUUUGUAGACUCUCUGAUGACAGUAAGAGGGAUAUUCUAUGGCUGCAAUGGGAAUUCUGCGGUCCGCACAUUUUACCUUGCGACCGCAUACCCAUUCUUUACUAAAGCUGCCCUAGAAUCAACUUCUGCGGACCGCACAAUUUCAAGUGCGGCCGCAAAAUUCAAAACACUACGAACAGUCCAUUAUUUCAAUAUAGGUUUUGUACUUUUUAUGCAAAUUUUGACAUGGUAACAACAUAAAGGCAUGAAAAUAUGUUGACCGUGUCCCUAAUGAGCAUGUAUUAGUUAACCCACUACAGAUUUAUCCCCACAUGAAUGCACAAUUGAGUUCUACUGACAAAUAGCCUAAAAAUAAUUAAAAAGCUAUAAGUUAAACCAAAAAUGCAAAAUUCUAACAAGGAAUUUAAGCAUACCAGAUGUGAAUGAGUGUAAGGAAUGAGGGAUCACAAUUGUUGGGCGUGUGGGCAGAUGAUUCACCAAGAAAUUUCAAUAUAGUGCAAGUUUUGGGCUCAGAGAGGGAAAACUGUAACCCUUUCCCCUGCCCUUGUUUUUGUAUUAAUGAUUCAUAAAAUAGGGGAAAGGUCGAGUGUGGCCGCACAUUGUUAUGUGCGGUCCGCACUCUGUUACCUGGGGCAACAUAUUUGGUUCUUCAGCUGAUGUCUACACAAUUUUGUGUGUGAUUGCAGAUUUCUUGUUGCGGCCGCAGAAUUCCUCUUGCGGUUGCACAUUGACCAUUUCUCUGACAAACUAACUUCAGAGAGCUUGAAAUUUCAACCCUUCAUUUGUGCGAUCCGCAAGAUAAUUAUGCGGCCAACAACUCUAAAAAUUGA